UCACAGGUCCCUUCAGAAGUGCCACUUCAC
This 30-nucleotide non-coding RNA is filed under the name Macaca fascicularis (crab-eating macaque). Lineage: Eukaryota; Metazoa; Chordata; Mammalia; Primates; Cercopithecidae. RNAcentral also lists the same sequence under 1 other name. The record is from RNAcentral.